CAUUACAGAGUUCAUGCCCUUCGGGGUAGAUCUCCCACCCGUGUUAUCAUACCAUUGUUGCUUUGGCGGGCCCGCCUCGGCCACCGGCUCCGGCUGGUGAGCGCCCGCCAGAGGACCCCAAACUCUGAAAUUUAGUGUCGUCUGAGUACUAUAUAAUAGUUAAAACUUUCAACAACGGAUCUCUUGGCUCUGGCAUCGAUGAAGAACGCAGCGAAAUGCGAUAAGUAAUGUGAAUUGCAGAAUUCAGUGAAUCAUCGAAUCUUUGAACGCACAUUGCGCCCCUUGGUAUUCCGGGGGGCAUGCCUGUUCGAGCGUCAUUACAACCCUCAAGCUCUGCUUGGUGUUGGGCGUCCCCGGCAACGGGGUGCCCUAAAAUCAGUGGCGGUGCCGUCUGGCUCUAAGCGUAGUAAAUCUCUCGCUCUGGAUGCCCGGUGGAGACUUGCCAGUAACCCCCAAUUUU
This 460-nucleotide unclassified non-coding RNA is filed under the name Neofabraea perennans. RNAcentral's name for it is "sequence contains 18S rRNA gene, ITS1, 5.8S rRNA gene and ITS2". The stretch from base 164 to 317 matches the Rfam family "5.8S ribosomal RNA". Lineage: Eukaryota; Fungi; Ascomycota; Leotiomycetes; Helotiales; Dermateaceae. The record is from RNAcentral.